GCAGUGUGGCCUUUGAUCGGUGCCAUGCGGGAUUUUCGGUGAGCGCGGCAUGCGGCCACACUGCUGCCCAAACAGCUGUUCGAAAUUGGAAAACAACAAAUUCUAGAAAAUCUAUUUUUAUCUCAAAUUUCUAUUCUUACUUGAUUUAUUGCGCAAAAACAUUACUUUCACAACAAUGUUCUAAUGUUAUUUUAUUUCUUUUUUUAGAAGUGAUCAUUUGCUUAUAACAGUGCCUUUCAAAAGUUGUGUUUCGAUUGCGUUAAAAAUCACAUCCUGGGAAUCGAAACAAAGUCUUCAUUCAGAGAGCUCUGCUCCUACCAGCAAAUUGCAGCAAUAAAAUUGAAGAAAUGUCCAAUGGGACUGUGAAAAACGGAUGGGCAAGUGGAAAGGGAAAUGGCAGAAGGAUGAUGGCGAGGACGAGGACGAACCCACUGCCAGUCUGUUUGCUCCUGUCAACUUUCAUUCGCAGCCGCCCGUUGAUUACAGAGCUCCAUUUGAGUCAAGCGCCCCCAUAUUUUCCGCACUUCCCCCGCAGAAAUUCGAAGUCAAGCGGAAUAACAACAACAACAACAACAUCAACACUUGCCGCAGGAUUUUGGGAGGCUGGCGUAAAAAAGUGGGUGGUCCAACCGGUCCUCUUGUUCCUGAUGAUGAUGACUGCAGAAGCGAUAAUGACGUAGCCCCUUCAUUAUUCGCAGGCGAAAGUGUCGCCGAGUCCAUAAUGAGCACCAGAAAUUCGCGUGGCACGAUAAGUGACAAACGGUCGGGAAAUAGGGGAACGGAACGAGGGGUCAUUAUCCAAAAAGGAUGGGAGCCAGUGCAUCCAAAAUUCAAGCGGAGCUGUGGGAUCAUAUGGCGAACAAUUUCUCAACUUCUGUCAGAAACAUUAAAGUUCAAGAGAAUUUGUAAUGAAAACGCCGAAUAAGGAAAAACCAGUACAAAUCGCAUUUGAUGGAUUUUCGAUAAAUAAAAUGAAAACUCUCAUAUGUAUGCCUCAUAAUUUUCGAUAUAUAUGUAUAUAGUGAACAAAAGUAUUUAAAAUUUGUUCAGCCGAACACAGAAAUUCCUGCAAAAGUUAACCUUUUGAUGGCCAAACUUUGCGUCCCUAAAUGAAAUCUGGUUAUUUUGGGAAUAUCCCAAAAGCCCGAGACAGCUAUUUUUGUUAAUCGACCCACGGGCCCUGUAAUCCCGUUUCAAAUUUUCCAUAAGCCUGGGACUUUAAGUCAUUCCAGGUUCCUUUCAACGGAGUCACCUGACCAGCUUGUAAGCAGACUAAGCAAUCAAAGGACACUGGACGACAAAAGAAAGGACCGGCUCCUGGUCAUCGUACAUUGGACAGUGGACGUGGGACAUCGGCCAUCCCAUCAACACAACUAAUCCCCGGCAUUCACCGAAUGAUGGACACAUCUGAUGGAUACCCCAUCCACGACACUCCGCACUUCAUUUCCUCGGCAAUCCCAGCCUCUCCGUUGUUUCACUUUUUCAUGUCUGAUUACGGCUCUGGGCGUACACUGAGAGAAUAA
This is a non-coding RNA of Drosophila melanogaster (fruit fly), 1523 nucleotides long. Lineage: Eukaryota; Metazoa; Arthropoda; Insecta; Diptera; Drosophilidae. The record is from Ensembl.